AUGCUAGUAUAUAGAGGUGUCACCAAGGUGACUAUUCACAAUGGAUCUUCGGCUUUAUUCUGGAAGGAUGCCUGGAUUGGCGACGUUUUGGCUGAGACCCACCCCAGAGCAUUCUCCUUCACUCAAGAGGAAGAUAUAUCUGUGCGAGCUUUCUUGAACAACACGUCUCUUAGUGAAACGUUUCAUCUACCACUCUCCACCCAAGCCCUUGAUGAGACUCGAGACCUCCAGCAGAAAACCAGGCACGUUGAAUUCCUAAACCCCCUGACUAAUGAUGAAUGGACAUGCAUUUGGGGGACCAACUACUACUCAGCCAACAGGUUCUACACUUUCUACUUCAAGGAUGUCCAUGCACACCGAGCAUAUAGAUGGAUCUGGAAAUCUAAAGCAACAAUGAAGAUUAAAGUUUUUGGCUGGUUGCUACUCUCGGAUAGACUCAACACCAGAGACAUGCUCAAAAGGAGACACUAUAACAUUGGCAAUGACUUUAGUUGCCUCCUAUGCCCCAAUUGCAGCAAUGAAACAGUGGAGCAUCUCUUCUUGGAAUGCAAUUUCAGCCUUCAAUGUUGGGACAAACUUCAGAUCAGGGGCCAUGCAGUACCUUCACGUCUUGAUUGGGUUGAACAAGCCAAAAUCUCUUGGAAGAAACCACUGUUCAUGGAAAUCUUCAUGCUUGCUGCCUGGAGCAUCUGGAAGGAACGUAAUAAUAAGCACUUUCGAGGAGUGCUUCCAUCCCAAGCCUCCUGGCUUGCUAGACUAAAGGAAGAUCUUGCUCUCCUGACUUGUAGAGUAGGAGAUAAACAUAAACCCUUUCUCUCAUCCUUCCUUAACUCCCUCUAA
Molecule: ribosomal RNA, 840 nt
Filed under: Triticum aestivum (bread wheat)
Lineage: Eukaryota; Viridiplantae; Streptophyta; Magnoliopsida; Poales; Poaceae
Description: partial small subunit ribosomal RNA
Source: RNAcentral